Melospiza melodia melodia is the source of this 2125-nucleotide long non-coding RNA. RefSeq lists it as uncharacterized. The transcript is spliced from 4 exons. Lineage: Eukaryota; Metazoa; Chordata; Aves; Passeriformes; Passerellidae. The record is from RefSeq and is a predicted model, not a curated record.
AGCCACUUGAAAAUUGCCCAGCUAAAGUUAUUCCUUGGGCCGAAAUAAUUCUGCUUUCUGCAAUGAAGUGUCAUCACAGGCUUGAGUAAACCAGAGAAGGAAAAACCUACUGAGGGGUUGUCAGUGACAGACAGCAAGAAAACCUUUCCACAGUUGGACUUUUUUUCAUCCCAGUUAGUGCUGCUCCAGUGCUCUUGAAUGUGUCCUCAGCAGAGGAAGAUUAUCGGCGAGUCGAUUUCUCCCCUCUCUGACUCAGCCUGCAAAACACGGUCUCAUUUUAGAAAACAGGUAUUGCCCAAUAGGACAUGGCUGCUGCUGCCAAAAUUCAAUCUGAAAAAAUAGGGCAAGCUUAAACUGCUGUGGCCUAUGGUCAGAAACAGAAUCUUUGUGCCUCUGUACUGAGCUUCUCCCUGCCCACUCCUGCUGCCCCUGAACUACUUCCUUUCUUCCUUUACAGCAGCUAAGACACGUUCUGUCCCUAAGGACUGUCCCAUCUAAAAAUAAGUGCUCUUGACACACAAGAGAUGUCAGACUAGCACAGCAGGAUGCUGAAGCGUCUCUAGAUGUGUAGCAGGGCUUCUCUUACAGUGGGUUGCAGCAAUUUAGGAAUUCACACUUGAUAAAUGCAAUAUGGGCGGCUUCUUUUUAUCUCUUGCAAAUGGUGCCAGGGCUGAUGUAUUCCUGAUCCUUAUUUGGCAAUCCAGCUUGCUUCUUCUAUGCUGUUCUUUGGAAUCACAAAAUUCUAAUGUUUGAUGAAGCAAACAUGCACUGUUAUUGUAUAUAGCUUUCUCACUGACAUCUAUAGGUGAACUGUCAUUGUCAGCUGCUGGCUCAACCUUUGGUUUAGGUCUACAUUUUGUCAGAACAUACUUGUACAGAAACAUACUCUGCUCUGACAGUAUUUCUAAAGCACAAAGAUAAUGCCUGAACUCUGGGAAGUUUCUUACCUAUAGCUGAAACAACUCCUCUUCACCUUCUUUUUCAAUCUCAUUUUCCAGAUACAGCGAUACAGCAACAGGCUACUCUGUAUUACACAUAAUUAAUGCUAUUACUUGAUUCAAUUAUCCUUGCCCUUGCUCCUUUUUCAAGAUUAAGCUAAAGCCCUGCCAGAGCAAGGCCUGGAGAGAUGAUCUGUCCUUCUUACUUACCGUGGUGCUUGGUGCAUCAGAAAGCUGCACAUUGAAGCUGUUCAAGCUUUUACAAUUGUUUGCAGUUCCACUGGCUCUUCCUGCACUUUAGCCAGAAACAACCUCUGCUGCCACUCCUCUCCUGCCUUCAGGGCCCCACUGAGGUCUGUCUGCGACAGCUCCACCCUUGGCUGCUGCUCUGCAAGGACCGAGCCAGAGUGGCCAGGCACACCUGGGGCGGGCACACAGAGCACAGCGUGGCACACCCGGCUGGGGACGCUGUCCCCGGCCAACCGCACAACUCAAAAAGGUCUCUGCAGCCCCCUUCAGCUUCAGGUGUUCAUUAAGAGUCAUUCUGCCCUAAUUUUUUAUGGAACCUCUGCCAGUUAAAUUAUUCAUUUUAGAAAAAAAAUCCCAAACAACUGGAGAGUCCUUUUCAAAUUCCUAAAAUACUAAACCAAGUAAAUUAUUGUCAAACUCGGUAUUUAUAGAAAAUUAGCUGGAAAACAAAGAUGACAACCCUCAUCUGAGCUAGUUGCUUUUGGCCUGAAGGCUGAGUAUUAUUAAAUUCUGCAUGAACAUGAUUGUUACUGCAUGAAACUUAAUACCCAUAUGUUCAACACAAUUAGUUCUUCCAAGGCAGGCAAUUCAGUAAUAAACAGUACCAUCCUUUAAAUCAAAACACAAAACAAGGAUGGAACACAAAUUCUGCAUUAUUAUUAGUUUCUUGUUUGAGAAAAUUUCAUUUCAGCAAAGGGAGAACAUUACAGAACAGUGUGUACUGAAGGUAAGUACUAAGGUCUGCUACUCCUGAGCUUGCCUCUGAGAGAAGGGAGAGAAUGAUUUCAGGAGGAGGGGCAGAUGAGAUCCCAGCACACACAGACUGGUAUGUAAUAGAUGAACUUCAAGGAGCUUGGCAUACACUUAACUUCAUACUGUUUUUUCCUGUACUAUACUUUAAAAAUAUUAAGGAAAUAAACUUAAACUUCAAUGCUGUU